Molecule: ribosomal RNA, 495 nt
Filed under: uncultured Alteromonadales bacterium
Lineage: Bacteria; Pseudomonadati; Pseudomonadota; Gammaproteobacteria; Alteromonadales
Description: bacterial SSU rRNA
Rfam family: Bacterial small subunit ribosomal RNA
Source: RNAcentral
GGGCGUAAAGCGCGCGUAGGUGGUUAUUUAAGUCAGUUGUGAAAGCCCAGGGCUCAACCUUGGAAUUGCAAUUGAUACUGGGUAACUUGAGUACAGUAGAGGAGUGUGGAAUUUCAGGUGUAGCGGUGAAAUGCGUAGAGAUCUGAAGGAACAUCAAUGGCGAAGGCAACACUCUGGACUGAUACUGACACUGAGGUGCGAAAGCGUGGGUAGCAAACAGGAUUAGAUACCCUGGUAGUCCACGCCGUAAACGAUGUCUACUAGCCGUUGGGACUCUUGUAGUCUUAGUGGCGCAGCUAACGCGAUAAGUAGACCGCCUGGGGAGUACGGCCGCAAGGUUAAAACUCAAAUGAAUUGACGGGGGCCCGCACAAGCGGUGGAGCAUGUGGUUUAAUUCGAUGCAACGCGAAGAACCUUACCAGGUCUUGACAUACAGAGAAUUCGCUAGAGAUAGCUUAGUGCCUUCGGGAACUCUGAUACAGGUGCUGCAUGGCU